CCUACGGGAGGCAGCAGUGAGGAAUAUUGGUCAAUGGGCGUAAGCCUGAACCAGCCAAGUCGCGUGCGGGAUGACGGUUCUAUGGAUCGUAAACCUCUUUUGUAAAGGAAUAAAGCGUAGGACGUGUAUUAUGCUGUAAGUACCUUAUGAAUAAGGAUCGGCUAACUCCGUGCCAGCAGCCGCGGUAAUACGGAGGAUCCAAGCGUUAUCCGGAUUUAUUGGGUUUAAAGGGUGCGUAGGCGGCCUGUUAAGUCAGCGGUGAAAGUUUGUAGCUUAACCAGGGAAUUGCCGUUGAUACUGUUGAGCUAGAGUAUGUAUGAGGUAGGCGGAAUGUGUGGUGUAGCGGUGAAAUGCUUAGAGAUCAUGCAGAACCCCGAUUGCGAAGGCAGCCUGCCAAGCCAUGACUGACGCUGAUGCACGAAAGCGUGGGGAGCAAACAGGAUUAGAUACCCGUGUAGUC
RNAcentral lists this ribosomal RNA (460 nucleotides) under uncultured bacterium. RNAcentral describes it as "partial 16S ribosomal RNA". It matches the Rfam family "Bacterial small subunit ribosomal RNA", at positions 338 to 795 of the family's 1533-position model. The record is from RNAcentral.